UACAGCCUCAGUGUUCACAGUAAAACUGUAACUUAAAGUGGGUACAGCCUCAGUGUUCACAGUAAAACUGUAACUUAAAGCAGGUACAGCCUCAGUGUUCACAGUAAAACUGUAACUUAAAGCAGGUACAGCCUCAGUGUUCACAGUAAAACUGUAACUUAAAGCAGGUACAGCCUCAGUGUUCACAGUAAAACUGUAACUUAGUGGGUACAGCCUCAGUGUUCACAGUAAAACUGUAACUUAAAGCAGGUACAGCCUCAGUGUUCACAGUAAAACUGUAACUUAAAGUGGGUACAGCCUCAGUGUUCACAGUAAAACUGUAACUUAAAGCAGGUACAGCCUCAGUGUUCACAGUAAAACUGUAACUUAAAGCAGGUACAGCCUCAGUGUUCACAGUAAAACUGUAACUUAAAGCAGGUACAGCCUCAGUGUUCACAGUAAAACUGUAACUUAGUGGGUACAGCCUCAGUGUUCACAGUAAAACUGUAACUUAAAGUGGGUACAGCCUCAGUGUUCACAGUAAAACUGUAACUUAAAGCAGGUACAGCCUCAGUGUUCACAGUAAAACUGUAACUUAAAGCGGGUACAGCCUCAGUGUUCACAGUAAAACUGUAACUUAAAGCAGGUACAGCCUCAGUGUUCACAGUAAAACUGUAACUUAAAGCAGGUACAGCCUCAGUGUUCACAGUAAAACUGUAACUUAGUGGGUACAGCCUCAGUGUUCACAGUAAAACUGUAACUUAAAGUGGGUACAGCCUCAGUGUUCACAGUAAAACUGUAACUUAAAGCAGGUACAGCCUCAGUGUUCACAGUAAAACUGUAACUUAAAGCAGGUACAGCCUCAGUGUUCACAGUAAAACUGUAACUUAAAGCAGGUACAGCCUCAGUGUUCACAGUAAAACUGUAACUUAAAGUGGGUACAGCCUCAGUGUUCACAGUAAAACUGUAACUUAAAGCAGGUACAGCCUCAGUGUUCACAGUAAAACUGUAACUUAAAGUGGGUACAGCCUCAGUGUUCACAGUAAAACUGUAACUUAAAGCAGGUACAGCCUCAGUGUUCACAGUAAAACUGUAACUUAAAGCAGGUACAGCCUCAGUGUUCACAGUAAAACUGUAACUUAAAGCAGGUACAGCCUCAGUGUUCACAGUAAAACUGUAACUUAGUGGGUACAGCCUCAGUGUUCACAGUAAAACUGUAACUUAAAGCAGGUACAGCCUCAGUGUUCACAGUAAAACUGUAACUUAAAGCAGGUACAGCCUCAGUGUUCACAGUAAAACUGUAACUUAAAGCAGGUACAGCCUCAGUGUUCACAGUAAAACUGUAACUUAAAGCAGGUACAGCCUCAGUGUUCACAGUAAAACUGUAACUUAAAGUGGGUACAGCCUCAGUGUUCACAGUAAAACUGUAACUUAAAGCAGGUACAGCCUCAGUGUUCACAGUAAAACUGUAACUUAAAGCAGGUACAGCCUCAGUGUUCACAGUAAAACUGUAACUUAAAGUGGGUACAGCCUCAGUGUUCACAGUAAAAUGAACUUAAAGCAGGUACAGCCUCAGUGUUCACAGUAAAACUGUAACUUAAAGCAGGUACAGCCUCAGUGUUCACAGUAAAACUGUAACUUAAAGCAGGUACAGCCU
This is a long non-coding RNA of Oncorhynchus keta (chum salmon), 1636 nucleotides long. RefSeq lists it as uncharacterized. Lineage: Eukaryota; Metazoa; Chordata; Actinopteri; Salmoniformes; Salmonidae. The record is from RefSeq and is a predicted model, not a curated record. The transcript is spliced from 5 exons.